Long non-coding RNA from Hibiscus syriacus, 200 nucleotides. RefSeq lists it as uncharacterized. NCBI's taxonomy places the organism in Eukaryota, Viridiplantae, Streptophyta, Magnoliopsida, Malvales, Malvaceae. The record is from RefSeq and is a predicted model, not a curated record. The transcript is spliced from 3 exons.
UAGUCUGGCUCCCAGGAUCCUUGUGCAGAAAGAUGGAGGUCCCCUACUGCAUUGUCAAGGGAAAAUCACGUUUGGGAUCGAAUGUUCACAGGAAAACUGCUUCCGUCUUAUGCUUAACAACGGUUAGGAACGAGGAUAAGUUGGACUUCAGCAAAAUCCUCGAGGCCAUCAAGGCAAAGUUUAACACUCUCACGUGUCUC